RNAcentral lists this ribosomal RNA (61 nucleotides) under Ascobolus carbonarius. Its description in RNAcentral is "partial 28S ribosomal RNA". The record is from RNAcentral. Lineage: Eukaryota; Fungi; Ascomycota; Pezizomycetes; Pezizales; Ascobolaceae.
CAUUGACCUAACAUCAGGUAGGGAUACCCCCUGAACUUAAGCAUAUCAAUAAGCGGAGGAA